This 497-nucleotide ribosomal RNA is filed under the name uncultured bacterium. Its description in RNAcentral is "partial 16S ribosomal RNA". It matches the Rfam family "Bacterial small subunit ribosomal RNA", at positions 28 to 507 of the family's 1533-position model. The record is from RNAcentral.
GAUGAACGCUGGCGGCGUGCCUAAUACAUGCAAGUCGAGCGGACGGACGCGAAGCUUGUGUCUCUGAUGUUAGCGGCGGGCGGGUGAGUAACACGUGGAUCACCUACUUAUCAGACUGGGAUAACUACGGAACACCGGAUAUAAUACCGUAUGAUAUUUUGAACCGCAGGGUUCAAAAGUGAAAGACGGCCUUGGUGUCUGUAAUAGCUGGUUCCGCGCUGCAUUAGCUAGUUGGUAAGGUCACGGCUUACCAAGGCUACGAUGCAUAGCCGACCUGAGGGGGUGAUCGGCCACACUGGAACGGAGACACGGUCCAGACUCCUACGGGAGGCAGCAGUAGGGAAUCUUCGGCAAAGGGCGAAAGCCUGACGGAGCAACGCCGCGUGAGUGAUGAAGGUCUUCGGAUCGUAAAGCUCUUUUAUUGGGGAAGAACAUAUGUGUAAUUAACUGUGCACAUCUUGACGGUACCUAAUCAGAAAGCAACGGCUAACUACGUG